RNAcentral lists this ribosomal RNA (517 nucleotides) under uncultured bacterium. RNAcentral's name for it is "bacterial SSU rRNA". It matches the Rfam family "Bacterial small subunit ribosomal RNA", at positions 994 to 1509 of the family's 1533-position model. The record is from RNAcentral.
AACUUUCCAGAGAUGGAUUGGUGCCCUUCGGGAACUCUGAGACAGGUGCUGCAUGGCUGUCGUCAGCUCGUGUUGUGAAAUGUUGGGUUAAGUCCCGCAACGAGCGCAACCCUUUAUCCUUUGUUGCCAGCGGUUAGGCCGGGAACUCAAAGGAGACUGCCAGUGAUAAACUGGAGGAAGGUGGGGAUGACGUCAAGUCAUCAUGGCCCUUACGAGUAGGGCUACACACGUGCUACAAUGGCGCAUACAAAGAGAAGCGACCUCGCGAGAGCAAGCGGACCUCAUAAAGUGCGUCGUAGUCCGGAUUGGAGUCUGCAACUCGACUCCAUGAAGUCGGAAUCGCUAGUAAUCGUGGAUCAGAAUGCCACGGUGAAUACGUUCCCGGGCCUUGUACACACCGCCCGUCACACCAUGGGAGUGGGUUGCAAAAGAAGUAGGUAGCUUAACCUUCGGGAGGGCGCUUACCACUUUGUGAUUCAUGACUGGGGUGAAGUCGUAACAAGGUAGGCGUAGUGCU